Oncorhynchus gorbuscha (pink salmon) is the source of this 1811-nucleotide long non-coding RNA. RefSeq lists it as uncharacterized. NCBI's taxonomy places the organism in Eukaryota, Metazoa, Chordata, Actinopteri, Salmoniformes, Salmonidae. The transcript is spliced from 2 exons. The record is from RefSeq and is a predicted model, not a curated record.
CAAGCACCAUGCUCUACCGACUGAGCUAGGGAGACUCCCUAUGGUGUUGCAAGCACCAUGCUCUACCAACUGAGCUAGGGAGACUCCCUAUGGUGUUGCAAGCACCAUGCUCUACCGACUGAGCUAGGGAGACUCCCUAUGGUGUUGCAAGCAGCAUGCUCUACCAACUGAGCUAGGGAGACUCCCUAUGGUGUUGCAAGCACCAUGCUCUACCGACUGAGCUAGGGAGACUCCCUAUGGUGUUGCAAGCACCAUGCUCUACCGACUGAGCUAGGGAGAUUCCCUAUGGUGUUGCAAGCACCAUGCUCUACCGACUGAGCUAGGGAGACUCCCUAUGGUGUUGCAAGCACCAUGCUCUACCAACUGAGCAGAGGACCAUGUGCGUACAAUACAAUUGUGUGCUGCCUGUUUCGUUUUUGUAGAUAUUUUCAUUCUCUGAGUUAUGGUCAACAGUUUUAAAUGUUAUGUUUAAUAACAAUGUAUUUUAUGCUCACAUUCUAAAACCUAGCAAUGUGCAUACUUUGUCUCGCAAUUGUAAUGAUCUGGAUUUUCUACCUGUGAGAGACAAAGAGAUGGCACAGAUGUCACAUGCCACGUCAACAAAGAUAAAUGUGGUAGAGUUGUGUGUGGGUUGAUAGGUUUUGCAUUUAUUGGAAUGCUCUACGUUGAAAUUACUGUCACAUCUCGUAGGCCCAGAGCAAUAUUAGUCUGAGUAGGCAUCAUUUUAAUUGGUUUCUUAAAAAGGGUUUAGAUUGCCAGAGGGAAACAGUACAAAUCUAAUAAAGUUCACGAAACUGCCUCAUUUCAUGAAAAUGAUUGAUCAAAUGGAUGCCGUUUCACUGCUGUGGGUAGAAUCAUAACAUGUGAAUGAUCAUUCUAAUUCUAUGGGUGGACUGCACCAUUACAUCACAAAUACAUGGUUUUGUUCUUGUUGUUGAUAUUGGUUUUGGUUUCGGUUCAAACAGAAGACGGUCCAUAGAUAUAUUAUAUAUGAUACAGUCAGUCAGUUCACUGGCAGAAACACUGAAUGUGUCUCUUGUCUUUGGAUAAGAGAAUCAAUUCUAUCAAGGAAGGAGAUUCCAGAGAGAGGAGAAACAGAUGGAGAGGGUUAAGAAGGAAAAGCAGAGAUUGCCAAUACCAAACCAGUCCGAGAUAAAGACGGAGGAACAACUGAGAGAGAAACCGAAGAGGGAAAGACAAAAUGGACAGUGAUCGGCUGAGAAGACAGAGGGAGAAUGAAAAGGCAAUGGAGAGGAAAAGGAUCAACGGAGGAAUAGAAUGAAAGAGAGGAGAGAAAAGAAAACGGAGAGAAAAGAGGAGAUGAGGACCAAAGCGACCGUGGAGGAAGAUGACGGUGGAGGAAGAUGACGGUGGAAGCAUCAUUGAAGAAAAGAAGAAGAAAGAUAAAAGUGUCAGUAGGAGAAUCUUCAACUGGGGAAAUACUAAGGUCAAGGAGAGAUACCGACGACAAAUCGAGAGGACCUUUCAGAGGGAGAAGGAGGAAGGUGGUCAUUUAUGCAGCAGAGGCACCUUAGGAGGUGGUCUUGGAUCCGUGGCCCAUUGUCUUGUCAGCACACGGGCCGAGCGUGAGAGAGAGAGAGCAGAGGCAGAAUCUGUUCAAGGCUGAACUAAGAAGACAGAAAUGGGAAGGGUGCUGGUAUGAAUAGCAAGACAAGAGGAGAGACAAGAAAGAGGAGAAAAGGGAGAAGGAAAAGCUUACAGAGGAGAAGAUAGGGAUGGCCUCUGAAUCACUCCAGAGUCUACACAUUUAUUUCUCCUGAAUUAUAUUAAUAAAGUUAUUCAACUUUUGU